UAGGAAUGUUCAUAGCAGUGACGUGGCUGGGGCCUGCACUGAUCAUCCCGAUCUGGUCGUGGGUUUGGAAGUACAUGUUGGAUGGGCGCCCUUGACUGCUCCGGUCAUAGACAGAUCCUGGAAUAAUAGCCUCACGUGCAUCAUACAUGGCAGUGGUCAUGAAGCGGGCACCUGGGUUGAUAGUGUUGACAAGUUUUCGGGGCUUGCUGAAUUGCAUGAGGCUCUCCCGGAGGUUAUUCAGUGGUCCCUCCACCAGAACCUUCUGCUCCUUGUAGUAAUUCAGCAGGUGAUUCCAAAGUGGUUGUUUAGACAGAGCUUUUGGGUUCCCAACAAUAAUCACCCCAUACCUUGCUCUUGUAAGAGCCACAUUAAGACGCCUGGGGUCAUUCAGAAAUCCUAUCCCUUGGUGUUCGUUGGCCCUCACACAAGACAGGAUAAUAAAGUCCUUCUCUCGUCCUUGGAAGGCAUCCACGCUUGCAAUUUCUACUUCCUGGUAAAGUUUUGUAUGCAAGGAACCACUGAACUGCAUGUACUGCACCAGAUAGGAUCGCUGGCCUUCAUAAGGAGUAAUAAUGCCAAUCUGAUCAGGUUUGGCACCAGCUUUCAAUAGCUUUGUAGUUAUCUUCUCCACAUUGGCAGCUUCCGUUCUGUUCAAGUAAGAGGUGCCUGAGCUGGCGAUUUCUUCCUGUCCUUGUGUAACAUAGAAAAACAUUGGCUUAUCUGGCUGUGGCCACUGGAAAUCAAACCCUUUCUUCACACGGUCAGCUGCAGUGACACCAUUCUGGAGCGAACCCUCAUAGAAGAUGUUGGAUGGGAAAGCACUCAGAGCAGGGUGCAUACGGUACUGCACCUGCAGGCGGAUGGGGCGAAUCCCCA
RNAcentral lists this long non-coding RNA (876 nucleotides) under Gallus gallus (chicken). The record is from RNAcentral. Lineage: Eukaryota; Metazoa; Chordata; Aves; Galliformes; Phasianidae.